This 497-nucleotide ribosomal RNA is filed under the name uncultured bacterium. Its description in RNAcentral is "partial 16S ribosomal RNA". It matches the Rfam family "Bacterial small subunit ribosomal RNA", at positions 28 to 507 of the family's 1533-position model. The record is from RNAcentral.
GACGAACGCUGGCGGCGUGCCUAAUACAUGCAAGUUGAGCGCUGAAGGUUGGUACUUGUACCAACUGGAUGAGCAGCGAACGGGUGAGUAACGCGUGGGGAAUCUGCCUUUGAGCGGGGGACAACAUUUGGAAACGAAUGCUAAUACCGCAUAAAAACUUUAAACACAAGUUUUAAGUUUGAAAGAUGCAAUUGCAUCACUCAAAGAUGAUCCCGCGUUGUAUUAGCUGGUUGGUGAGGUAAAGGCUCACCAAGGCGAUGAUACAUAGCCGACCUGAGAGGGUGAUCGGCCACAUUGGGACUGAGACACGGCCCAAACUCCUACGGGAGGCAGCAGUAGGGAAUCUUCGGCAAUGGACGAAAGUCUGACCGAGCAACGCCGCGUGAGUGAAGAAGGUGUUCGGAUCGUAAAACUCUGUUGGUAGAGAAGAACGUUGGUGAGAGUGGAAAGCUCAUCAAGUGACGGUAACUACCCAGAAAGGGACGGCUAACUACGUG